Molecule: ribosomal RNA, 492 nt
Filed under: uncultured bacterium
Lineage: Bacteria
Description: partial 16S ribosomal RNA
Rfam family: Bacterial small subunit ribosomal RNA
Source: RNAcentral
AGUGAACGCUGGCGGUAGGCCUAACACAUGCAAGUCGAACGGCAGCACAGUAAGAGCUUGCUCUUACGGGUGGCGAGUGGCGGACGGGUGAGGAAUACAUCGGAAUCUACUUUUUCGUGGGGGAUAACGUAGGGAAACUUACGCUAAUACCGCAUACGACCUACGGGUGAAAGCAGGGGAUCUUCGGACCUUGCGCGAUUGAAUGAGCCGAUGUCAGAUUAGCUAGUUGGCGGGGUAAAGGCCCACCAAGGCGACGAUCCGUAGCUGGUCUGAGAGGAGGAUCAGCCACACUGGAACUGAGACACGGUCCAGACUCCGACGGGAGGCAGCAGUGGGGAAUAUUGGACAAUGGGCGCAAGCCUGAUCCAGCCAUACCGCGUGGGUGAAGAGGGCCUUCGGGUUGUAAAGCCCUUUUGUUGGGAAAGAAAAGCAGCAGGUUAAUACCCCGCUGUUCUGACGGUACCCAAAGAAUAAGCACCGGCUAACUUCGUG